Molecule: long non-coding RNA, 619 nt
Filed under: Canis lupus dingo (dingo)
Lineage: Eukaryota; Metazoa; Chordata; Mammalia; Carnivora; Canidae
Description: lncRNA (ENSCAFG00020027441.1)
Source: RNAcentral
CGACGGCGGAAGUGGAGCUCGGGCCGCGCCGCCCGCCGCGAAAGCGUGGUUGGUUGCGGGUGCGGAGCAGUCCCGCGGGAGGGCGCGCCGGGUGCGAGGCCCUCCCCGGCCCUCCCCGGCCCUCCCCGCCCUGUGGAGGCUCCUCGCCGACCCCCGGUGCCCGCCCGUUUCCACGCACCCACUGGGCGCGAGGGGCGGAGGCCCAGCCCCGGCCACGCAUCGUCGAGAGGCCGCCGCGGGGCCGGGCCAAGCGGGCGGGCCCGCGCGUGCUCCGCGCCCCGCAGGUGUCCGAGGGUCCGCAGGUGUCCCGACUCCUCCCCACGUCGGGAUGGCCGUCACAAUCUCGGCGGGCGACGCGAGGACCUCCGAGGGAAGGGGCGAACGCAGAGAGACUGCGGUCCUCCGUGGGACUUGCCACCCGCCCUCGCAGGCCCCCGGGGCGGCCGCUUGGCUCCGACCGCGGGCGCAGGUCGUGGCGGGGCGACUUCCCGAAGUUGUGCGCGGCCAAGGGAUCGGUCUCCUCCAGGGCCCGUGUGUGCGGAGACGGCGAGCAUCGGCUGCAGAGCUCGGGGGAGGGACUCCGCCUUUUCAGUUGAUGUUAAUAAAUAAGCCUUGGUAA